This 1499-nucleotide long non-coding RNA is filed under the name Zonotrichia albicollis (white-throated sparrow). Its description in RNAcentral is "lncRNA (ENSZALG00000010842.1)". Lineage: Eukaryota; Metazoa; Chordata; Aves; Passeriformes; Passerellidae. The record is from RNAcentral.
GGCUUAUAAUUUUAACAAAACCUGUGGUUUGAGAGGUCCUAAAACAAGCUUACAAUGAUGAUGGCUGACUCAGUAGGCUGCAAAUUCUCUUUCUACUCUCAUUAAGAGAAUAGGGUAUACUCAAAGUAAGACUAAUGAGUAAAAAAUUUAUCUAAGUUAGUCAUGACAAUGCUGUUUCUAUGCCAGAGUUUUAUUUCUCUGAAAAGAAACUUGAGCUAACUUUAAUAAAUACAUUUAGGUGUCACGCAUUUUAAUUUAACCUUAUAAAACCAUGACUAAGAUGAGCUACAGGUAUUGUAUCAAUGGCAAUUGUAUUAUUUCUCAUUCUGGGGGACUUGCUGUUGAAUCUAGUGGGUAUACAAAGAAAAGAAUAUAACAAAAAUAGCAAAUAGAUACACAGAUAUCUAAAUGCCAAAGACCAAGGCUAAAACUAGUAUGAGAUCUGUAUAAUUACACAGAGAUUUCCACAAACAUACUGUAUAAUUAUUAACAGACAAGAGCAAACAAACAAGAAAGCCCAAACACAGUGAUUUUAAUACCUGCUCAGGAAAUCGCCUGCCUGAGAAUAAAACUGUGGUCUGUGUUAGUUUCAUUCAAAUUAUUUUCAUUGACAUGAUACAAAAUGCAGUCAUUUCUUGAGUCCAUAGUUCUCUAAAGCAUAGUGAGCUGAAUGUGUGUCAUCCCUAUCAGUUAACUGCCCUACCUAUCAUUUACUGCCUUCUGUCACAGGGGCACUGCAGCCUCCCCAGCUAAUGUGCUCAGGGCAUACUCCUAGAGACUUUUUCUCAUUGAGCAAUUCUCUUUUGAUAGGCUUUCUAAUUUAGACACCUUACAUGCUUUCCCAUCCAGAGUGACUACAGUUUUCUGUUAUUCCAGCAAUAUUUUUUUUUUUACUUUCAUCUCUGACUGAGCCACCUGAGGAAGUGAAGAGAGGAGAGAAGACAAUGCAUCUUGUUAGGGCAGGAAAGUAGGGAAAAAACAUCCUCUGAAGAAUUAAAGCCAGCAUGGAUCCUGAGAGCUACCACAUUACAUAGAACAAGCUACCACAUUACACAGAACAAGAACUGGAGAAAGGGUAACAGGAGCAGAAAUCACUCCAGUUCAAAAGACCUGUCUGUCCUACUCAACUCUGAGUGUCAUGCUGCUUCUGCUGGAAUGAAUGGUUCAUCCAAACUGCAGGUGCUGUUAGACCCUGAGCCUAGGUGCAGGCAGUGGCUGCAUUCUGUGGUGGAAUAAGGUGAGCUGCAAUUCAAUAUAAUUUUCUCUCUUCCUCUAUCUUUAUUUUCUGUACUCCAGUUUAGACUGGAAGACGAAACAUACGUAGGGAGCAAAGUCAGUGUGUGCUGUGCAUGAGGAUAGCUGACCUGCAGGAUCAGUUACAAACUGCUCAAGACUGUUAGUCUAAAUGCAGUCCAGGGAGAGAUAUUAAUGAAUAUAAAUUCAACAGAAUAUAAUCAGUGAAGGCUACCUUUCCAAUUUCAUCACACUUUUGUAAGGAG